GUCCUACGGGACGCAGCAGUGAGGAAUAUUGGUCAAUGGGCGCGAGCCCGAACCAGCCAAGUCGCGUGAGGGAUGACGGCCCUACGGGUUGUAAACCUCUUUUGUCGGGGAGCAAAUUCCGCCACGUGUGGCGGAGUCGAGAGUACCCGAAGAAAAAGCAUCGGCUAACUCCGUGCCAGCAGCCGCGGUAAUACGGAGGAUGCGAGCGUUAUCCGGAUUUAUUGGGUUUAAAGGGUGCGUAGGCGGAAGGUUAAGUCAGCGGUCAAAUGUCGGUGCUCAACACCGGCCUGCCGUUGAAACUGGUC
RNAcentral lists this ribosomal RNA (305 nucleotides) under uncultured bacterium. RNAcentral's name for it is "bacterial SSU rRNA". It matches the Rfam family "Bacterial small subunit ribosomal RNA", at positions 335 to 638 of the family's 1533-position model. The record is from RNAcentral.